This 253-nucleotide ribosomal RNA is filed under the name uncultured bacterium. Its description in RNAcentral is "partial 16S ribosomal RNA". It matches the Rfam family "Bacterial small subunit ribosomal RNA", at positions 524 to 776 of the family's 1533-position model. The record is from RNAcentral.
UACAGAGGUCUCAAGCGUUGUUCGGAUUCAUUGGGCGUAAAGGGUGCGUAGGCGGCGCGGCAAGUCGGGUGUGAAAUCUCGGAGCUUAACUCCGAAACUGCAUUCGAUACUGCCGUGCUUGAGGACUGGAGAGGAGACUGGAAUUUACGGUGUAGCGGUGAAAUGCGUAGAGAUCAUGAGGAAGACCAGUGGCGAAGGCGGGUCUCUGGACAGUUCCUGACACUGGGACACGAAGGCCAGGGGAGCAAACGGG